This 87-nucleotide transfer RNA is filed under the name Selenomonadaceae bacterium. Its description in RNAcentral is "tRNA-Ser". It matches the Rfam family "tRNA". Rfam says of the family: Transfer RNA (tRNA) molecules are approximately 80 nucleotides in length. The record is from RNAcentral. Lineage: Bacteria; Bacillati; Bacillota; Negativicutes; Selenomonadales; Selenomonadaceae.
GGAGGGGUGUCCGAGCGGUUUAAGGAGCCGGUCUUGAAAACCGGUGAUGCGUCAGCACCGUGGGUUCGAAUCCCACCCCCUCCGCCA